GACGAACGCUGGCGGCGUGCUUAACACAUGCAAGUCGAACGGAAAGGCCUGCUUUUCCUUGUGGUUUGCGGGUACGCGAGUGGGGAACGGAUGAGUAACACGUGAGUGAUCUGCCCCCAACUUGGGUAUAAGCCUGGGAAACUGGGUCUAAUUACCGAUAGGACCGCAGGGUGGUGUCGGUAGUGGCGAACGUUUUGCUAGUGGUUGGGGUUGAGCUCGCGGCCUAUCAGCUUGUUGGUGUGGUAUUGGCCUACGACGGCGGGGACGGGUAGUCGGCCGGGGAGCGCCGACAGCCGCAUUGGGACUGGGACACGGCCCCGACGCCAGCGCGCAGCAGCCUAUGGGAGUCAUACGCAGUGAGCGGAAGCCAGAUGCAGCGACGCCGCGUGGGGGAUGCCGGGCUUCGGGUUGUAACCUUCUGUCGACCGACAGGUAUCUACUUUGAUGGAAGGGUGGUGACGGUAGUGGUAGAAGAAGCACCGGCUAACUACGUG
RNAcentral lists this ribosomal RNA (494 nucleotides) under uncultured bacterium. RNAcentral describes it as "partial 16S ribosomal RNA". It matches the Rfam family "Bacterial small subunit ribosomal RNA", at positions 28 to 507 of the family's 1533-position model. The record is from RNAcentral.